CAUAAAAUCAUGCUAUUUCAUGGCACUAGAAUUUCAUAAACAAAAUUCUAACUUAACUUGAACAUGAACUUUAUAUAACAUGAAUCUUAUGAACAUCAAAAUUAUCCAAAUAUGAAGGUGACUCUGAUACCAAUUGUUAGAAUAAUGAUUCCGACUAACAUACAAUAACCUUCAUAUUGAAUAAUUUGGAACAACAACUACAUGAGCGGAAGCUUACUUGAAUCCAUAUGUGGAAAUCCUUGAACCUCCUUUGAUGAUUGUUUGAAGUGUGCCUUAGCAAG
RNAcentral lists this long non-coding RNA (281 nucleotides) under Nicotiana benthamiana. RNAcentral describes it as "long non-coding RNA (NBEN_LNC037038)". Lineage: Eukaryota; Viridiplantae; Streptophyta; Magnoliopsida; Solanales; Solanaceae. The record is from RNAcentral.